ACGAACGCUGGCGGCGUGCUUAACACAUGCAAGUCGAACGGGCUGCCUGGUUUUCGGAUCGGGUGGUGAGUGGCGAACGGGUGAGUAACACGUGAGUAACCUGCCCCUCUCUUUGGGAUAACGUCGGGAAAUCGGCGCUAAUACCGGGUAUUCUGGCUUCCUCGCAUGGGGUUGUUGGGAAAGGUUUUUUCUGGUGGGGGAUGGGCUCGCGGCCUAUCAGCUUGUUGGUGGGGUGAUGGCCUACCAAGGCGGUGACGGGUAGCCGGCCUGAGAGGGUGUCCGGCCACACUGGGACUGAGACACGGCCCAGACUCCUACGGGAGGCAGCAGUGGGGAAUAUUGCACAAUGGGCGGAAGCCUGAUGCAGCGACGCCGCGUGGGGGAUGACGGCCUUCGGGUUGUAAACCUCUUUCAGUGCAGAACAAGGCUCUUUGUGGGUUGAGGGUAUGCGCAGAAGAAGCGCCGGCUAACUACGUG
This 477-nucleotide ribosomal RNA is filed under the name uncultured bacterium. Its description in RNAcentral is "partial 16S ribosomal RNA". It matches the Rfam family "Bacterial small subunit ribosomal RNA", at positions 29 to 507 of the family's 1533-position model. The record is from RNAcentral.